This is a non-coding RNA of Heterocephalus glaber (naked mole-rat), 1586 nucleotides long. NCBI's taxonomy places the organism in Eukaryota, Metazoa, Chordata, Mammalia, Rodentia, Bathyergidae. The record is from RefSeq and is a predicted model, not a curated record.
CACAUAGUGACUUUGUACAAAGAGCACAGGAUGGAAAAGGAGGAGACUUCAUGGUGGACAAACCUGACAAACCCUACCUGUGCCAGGUGGUCAAGUUCAAUAUCAAGAGUGCUAAGUUGCCAUACAGUUAUGUGUUCUUGCUAUGAUGUGAUAAGAAUUAUAGCUUACCUCCAUGGUCUUCCUCUCCAAAAUCUCAUAACCCCACCAUAAGAAAAAUACCAGACGCACUCCAACUGAGCAACCUUCUGCAAAAUGCAUGACAAGUACUCCCCUAAACUAUCAAAAAAGCUGUCAUUCAAAACAUAGUCAAGAGACUGUGACUGCUUUUGAUUCUGAAAAACUUUCAGAGUCAAGAGGACCUGCAGGGAACAGGAUAAUUAAAUGCAAUGUGAUAUCUUGGAUGGGAUCCUAAAACAGAGAGAAAAUGAGAUGCUACUGGCUUUUGGAUGCUUCAAACUGAGGAAAGGAGAGAGGAUAAAAAGCAGGUGAAGGAAGAUGCACUAACAGUAUGAGCCAAUGAAGUGUUUGGAAUAAGAAAGCCCCUCAGACUUGGGCCUAGAUACAAGCAGGAAGAACAAGGAGGAAAGAAGCACAAGCAAAAGUCAGGCUCAAGGAAAAGACUGCAUGAUUCAAAGAGAUUACAAGACAAUACCUGGAAAUGGAAAGCAAGGAAGUAUAAAGUAACAAGUAUUACAGAGAUGACAGAGGACACUAGAAGCACCAGCAAAUAAAGCAAGUAUAGGGCCGGGGAUUUAGCUCAGUGGUGCCACCGCCUGCCUCGCAAGAGCAAGGUCCCCAGUUCGAUCCAAUACCAAAAACAAAACAAAACAAAAAAAAGAGCAAAGAUCCCUAAGUCCUUUCCUCUUGGCCUCUCAAUUCAAUCUCACAAUGAGGAAAGAGAAAAGACAUAGAAAUUAUUAGGGAGAAUAUAUGAAUAUAUGACACAGCGAUCCAACAUAUAGGCAGAUGAAACCCUGGAGGUGGGUUUCAAAUCAUGAGUCCACCUCCUACCAAUUGUGCCUUGUUACCAAAGAUGAUGCACCUUGCUGUGAUUCUUUCGUUAUUAGGAAAGUUAGGAUAAAUAUAAUACGUAGCUCAUAAAACUGUUCAAAAGAUGAACAUGUCAAUUCACAUACUGCUAUUGUCCUUAGCAUAUAAGAAUGGAACUAAAAACUGUGCUGAAAAUAUGAAAAAUCUUUUCUGUAAUAAAUUUGUCAAAGCUCAGAUAGAAAAUGCACAGUAUCUGGGAGAGAAAUAACUGAAACAGAAUGGUCAACAAUGCAACACAUUCUGACAUUCAAGAAUAAAGCAAAGAAUUGUGUAUGCAUGAGAAAUGAAAAGCAAGUCACCUACAAAAAAAGAGAGAGAAAACAUCAGGAUGGCUUCAGAAUUCUCUGUUCUCAGUGCUGAAAAAAACCUCAGGAGUUAAUAUAUUUUUUAAAUUGGCAGCAUUGGGAGGGGGAGGAGAGGAAAAUAUAAUAAAUAACUGACACCCAGCAGAGCUUCUAUUCAGGUGUAAAGGCAAGGGACAGAGUCUCAUGCAUGCAAGAAUUCAGGGAUACAGCACUUAAGAGGUAUUGAGAAAC